This 433-nucleotide ribosomal RNA is filed under the name uncultured bacterium. RNAcentral's name for it is "partial 16S ribosomal RNA". It matches the Rfam family "Bacterial small subunit ribosomal RNA", at positions 29 to 507 of the family's 1533-position model. The record is from RNAcentral.
AACGAACGCUGGCGGCAUGCCUAACACAUGCAAGUCGAACGAGACCUUCGGGUCUAGUGGCGCACGGGUGCGUAACGCGUGGGAACCUGCCCUUAGGUUCGGAAUAACUCCCCGAAAGGGGUGCUAAUACCGGCUAAUGUCUUCGGACCAAAGAUUUAUCGCCUUUGGAUGGGCCCGCGUUGGAUUAGCUAGUUGGUAGGGUAAAAGCCUACCAAGGCGACGAUACAUAGCUGGUCUGAGAGGAUGAUCAGCCACACUGGGACUGAGACACGGCCCAGACUCCUACGGGAGGCAGCAGUGGGGAAUAUUGGACAAUGGGCGAAAGCCUGAUCCAGCAAUGCCGCGUGAGUGAUGAAGGCCUUAGGGUUGUAAAGCUCUUUUACCCGGGAUGAUAAUGACAGUACCGGGAGAAUAAGCUCCGGCUAACUCCGUG